GACUUUCCAGUGGCCUAAGUGGUCAGAGCAUCUGCCUUAAAUGUGGAAGGUUGUGGGUUAAAACCCUGGUUAAGUCA
Molecule: non-coding RNA, 77 nt
Organism: Potamilus streckersoni
Lineage: Eukaryota; Metazoa; Mollusca; Bivalvia; Unionida; Unionidae
Source: the annotation of a GenBank genome assembly